GCCAGUCUUCUCCUAGUGCUCUUCAGAUGAAGAUGUAGAGCUCUCAGCUCCUCCUGCACCAUGCCUGCCUGGAUGCUGCCAUACUCCUCCCACCUUGAUGAUAAUGACCUGAAUCUCUGAACCUGUGACUGGCACAGAGCUAUCAUUCUGGCCCUAAGAAGAUGAGGACAGGUCCCAUCCAUUACUGUGAAUGCCUCUCCAAGAAAUCAGUGACUGCAACUGGGUUCUCAGGUGUGUGGCCACCAGUAAUGACAAAUUGGGCUUUCACCAUGACAGUUCGUGCUCCCUUGACAGUACAUACAGAUCUCUCUUGUUGAAAUAGCAAAGAUCAUAGGUGUGGGCCAUCUUUAAUUCUUUUUGAAAAGUCACCAAAGAAAUGAAGCCACACUAUCAUGCCUCAGAGGUUUAUAGGUAUUAUCCUGCAACGUGUUUUUUUUUUUUUAAAGAUUUAUUUAUUUCAUGUAUGUGAGUACACUGCAGUUGUCUUCAGACACACCAGAAGAGGAUCCCAUUACAGAUGGUUGUGAGCCACCAUGUGACUGCUGGGAAUUCAACUCAGGACCUGGAAGAGCAGUCGGUGCUCUUAAUCCCUCAGUCAUCUCUCCAGCUCCGUUCCUAUUCUUGUAGUUUAAAAAUUAUACUAUUUUUAUGAAGGAAAAAUCCUGCCAGGCAGCAAGCAUAUCCACGUGGCCCCUGGUUUGGUAUAGCUGUCUCCUGCCAGCUUGGAUUUGAGAUUAAUUAUGAAUACAGUCAAAUGCCACUGCUGUCACCGUUUGUCUUUCUUAGGGACACAUUUGGGGGCUGCAGAGAUGCCUCGGUGGUUAAAGGUACUUACUGUAUAAUCAUGAGGAUGAGAAUUCAGGUCCUAGCACUUAGAGAACAAUCUAGGCGUCUCCUUUAUGCCUAUGCCUCCAGCACCAAGGGAGUCAGACGGGUUUGCUGGGGCUUGCGGUCUGAGAACACGCACCCCAGGUUCAGGAAAGCAGCCCUCGCUCAAAGCUUCUGGCUUCCAAAUAUCACUUAUACUCACACACAUAAAUACAGCUUGUUUUAAAAAACAAAAAACAUAACUUUUCAUUGAAUUCUCCCAGGGAGCAUUCUACUCUGGAGCCAAUGGAUCCCACUGUCAGCUCUGAGGACAAGACAGGCUCCCCUCCCUCAAGUGCCACCUGCGUUCAUCCACCCACUGACUCCUUGAUAGGAAAGCAUCCCUUCUCAAUGCCAUGUUUCUGACCUUGUUCUGUAGCUUGCAUUUCAAAGUGUAAUUUAAUUUUCUUGACUUCUGCCAUCCUUUUGCAGAUUAAUGGCAGAAUCAACAUCAAGAACCAGAGAGAAAAGGUUCGUAUGGGGACUAAAACCUACACCAAAGAACAGUGCUUUGAGUUGUUUUGGGUGCAGGAGAAGUUUUCUCCAACACCUAGACCCAGUUCCUGGCAGGAGGGGGAGACAGGAUGGGGACAGCCUCAGGCCCAGUGCUCAGUUACAAAUGAAACCGGCCUCUAAGAAAGUGGGUGGGCCAGGCCAUGUGGGGUCUGGAAGCAGGGAUGGGAACAGCACUAGGAGUCUUGGUUUCUCUUGGGCUGUCCUUCCAUGUGAUGGCUACAAUGUGGCUUCAUAAAGACCCCACCAGAGAAGCUGGCUGGUGGGCCCAAGUCCCCCAUCCUCCCACACGCACCGCCACACAGAGCCAGUGAUCCACAAUCAAGAGAAAAGAUAUUUAAUUAUUUCUCAGUCUAAUUACUCUUAAAGCGUUCAAAGUGUUUUCACAAGUGCAAGGGGAGGGAUUGUUCUCAGCCAACAUUUACCAGUGAUUCCGACACACGCAAAGAAACUGCCAAUCACGGUGCUUUAUACUUACUUUAAUUUCUGCACUGAAAAA
Molecule: non-coding RNA, 1879 nt
Organism: Rattus norvegicus (Norway rat)
Lineage: Eukaryota; Metazoa; Chordata; Mammalia; Rodentia; Muridae
Source: RefSeq, a predicted model, not a curated record